RNAcentral lists this unclassified non-coding RNA (347 nucleotides) under Hevea brasiliensis (rubber tree). Lineage: Eukaryota; Viridiplantae; Streptophyta; Magnoliopsida; Malpighiales; Euphorbiaceae. The record is from RNAcentral.
AGCUAAAUGGGAUUUCCUGUUGGGUACACAGAAGUUUUCUUGCCGAAGAUGUUCGUGCACGCACUAUCCUUUCUGGGUUUUAUCAGAAACCUCAUUAUAUGCCUUUUUAAUUUUCUGGGUCUCUCGGAUUUCCUCGAAACCGAUAACAUAUGGCCCGAUAAUACUAACCGAAUCCAUAGCCACACGCCCGUUUCCGCCGUCCUGAUCCGGGAAAUCCUACCCGUCAUAAAGUUCGACGAUUUGGUUGCCGGAGACAGCGAAGUUGAGCUGCCGGAGAGUUGUGUCGUUUGUUUGUAUGAGUUCGAGGGCGAUGCGGAGAUCAGAUGGCUAAAGAAUUGCAAGCACAU